UUCAAGCCCCUCUUAAUGGCAGAAACAUGCCUCUGUUCACUCCCUUCGACUUUCGCUUCGAAACCCCCACUUAAAUCUCUCCCUAUUUCACAAAGACCCAGCAAGCUCCAACUCUCAUACUCCCACUCUUUAUCACCUUUCUCUCUAAAACCCAAAACCCAUCUCUCCUUAACAAUCCCGUUUGUAACUCAGACCUCGGAUUGGGCUCAACAAGGAGAAGAAGACAACACCACUAUCACUUUAACUGAAUCGGAGCAAGAAGAACAAGGAGAAUCCAAUUGGGUAAAUGAAGAAAGUAAUGAUUUUGAAGGUAAAGUACCUGAAUGGGAGGCUGAAGGAGAGGAUGCAGCUGCUACCGAAGCUAUUAGAGGUGAAGGAGAGAGUGGUGACGAGGAGGGAUUUGUAGAGCCACCAGAGGAAGCUAAGAUUUUUGUAGGGAACUUGCCAUAUGAUGUUGACAGUGAGAAGUUGGCUAUGUUGUUUGAACAAGCUGGAACUGUUGAGAUUGCUGAGGUAAAUAAAUGCACUUGCUUUUUUGUGUUUUAGAGUGUUUCAAGGGUUUUAUGGAGGUUUUGUUUUGUGGUGUUGUAGGUUAUUUACAACAGGGAAACUGAUACAAGUCGUGGGUUUGGGUUUGUGACGAUGAGUACUGUUGAAGAAUCCGAAAAGGCUGUGGAAAUGCUUCAUCGUUAUGUAAGUUUCUUCCUAUAUUUGUUUUGUUGAAACUUUUGGCUAUGUGUGGUUUGGGACGAUUUAAAACUAUAUAUAAACUUAUGAUAGUUGCUAGAAAUGAGUGAAAGGGAGUAGGCAGAGUGGGAGAUGCCGUUUCUAUGCCUUUAUGGCUAGAAGAAGAAAGAUGCUGGAUUUUUGGAAGUUUCCUUGACUAAUUGAGCCACCUGUUAGGUUCGGAUGGCUGAGUAUUUUGUAUAAUAUGGGAAGAGAAAUUCUCUUUUUUGGUUGAGUAAUGGUACUUUUUU
Molecule: long non-coding RNA, 977 nt
Filed under: Populus trichocarpa (black cottonwood)
Lineage: Eukaryota; Viridiplantae; Streptophyta; Magnoliopsida; Malpighiales; Salicaceae
Description: long non-coding RNA (PTRI_LNC002931)
Source: RNAcentral